AGCGAACGCUGGCGGCGUGCCUAACACAUGCAAGUCGAACGUGAACGGGGGCAACCCUUAGUAAAGUGGCGUACGGGUGAGUAACGCGUAGGUAAUCUACCCUAAAAUCUGGAAUAACCGGCCGAAAGGCUGGCUAAUACUGGAUAGAGCGACAGAAUCCGUAAUUGGGUUUUUCGGGAAAGGGGGGUCGCAAGAUCUCGCGUUUUAGGAUGAGCCUGCGUCUCAUUAGCUAGUUGGCGGGGUAAUGGCCCACCAAGGCUUUGAGGGGUAGCUGGUCUGAGAGGAUGAUCAGCCGCACUGGAACUGAAACACGGUCCAGACUCCUACGGGAGGCAGCAGUGGGGAAUCUUGCGCAAUGGACAAAAGGCUGACGCAGCCACGCCGCGUGAGUGAAGAAGGCCUUCGGGUUGUAAAGCUCUGUCGGGCGGGACGAAAAGUUCACGUGCUCAUACCACGUGGAUCUGACGGUACCGCCAAAGGAAGCACCGGCUAACUUCGUGCCAGCCGCCGCUGUAA
Molecule: ribosomal RNA, 516 nt
Filed under: uncultured bacterium
Lineage: Bacteria
Description: partial 16S ribosomal RNA
Rfam family: Bacterial small subunit ribosomal RNA
Source: RNAcentral